RNAcentral lists this ribosomal RNA (2783 nucleotides) under Vibrio cholerae. RNAcentral describes it as "23S ribosomal RNA". It matches the Rfam family "Bacterial large subunit ribosomal RNA". The record is from RNAcentral. Lineage: Bacteria; Pseudomonadati; Pseudomonadota; Gammaproteobacteria; Vibrionales; Vibrionaceae.
UUAAGUGACUAAGCGUACACGGUGGAUGCCUGGGCAGUCAGAGGCGAUGAAGGACGUACUAACUUGCGAUAAGCGCAGAUAAGGCAGUAAGAGCCGUUUGAGUCUGCGAUUUCCGAAUGGGGAAACCCAACUGCAUAAGCAGUUACUGUUAACUGAAUACAUAGGUUAACAGAGCAAACCGGGGGAACUGAAACAUCUAAGUACCCCGAGGAGAAGAAAUCAACCGAGAUUCCGGUAGUAGCGGCGAGCGAACCUGGAUUAGCCCUUAAGCACUCGGUGAAGUAGGUGAACAAGCUGGAAAGCUUGGCGAUACAGGGUGAUAGCCCCGUAACCGACGCUUCAUCGAGCGUGAAAUCGAGUAGGGCGGGACACGUGAUAUCCUGUCUGAAUAUGGGGGGACCAUCCUCCAAGGCUAAAUACUCCUGACUGACCGAUAGUGAACCAGUACCGUGAGGGAAAGGCGAAAAGAACCCCUGUGAGGGGAGUGAAAUAGAACCUGAAACCGUGUACGUACAAGCAGUAGGAGCACCUUCGUGGUGUGACUGCGUACCUUUUGUAUAAUGGGUCAGCGACUUAUAUUCAGUGGCAAGGUUAACCGUAUAGGGGAGCCGUAGCGAAAGCGAGUCUUAACUGGGCGUUCAGUCUCUGGAUAUAGACCCGAAACCGGGUGAUCUAGCCAUGGGCAGGUUGAAGGUUGAGUAACAUCAACUGGAGGACCGAACCGACUAAUGUUGAAAAAUUAGCGGAUGACUUGUGGCUAGGGGUGAAAGGCCAAUCAAACUCGGAGAUAGCUGGUUCUCCCCGAAAGCUAUUUAGGUAGCGCCUCGGACGAAUACUACUGGGGGUAGAGCACUGUUAAGGCUAGGGGGUCAUCCCGACUUACCAACCCUUUGCAAACUCCGAAUACCAGUAAGUACUAUCCGGGAGACACACGGCGGGUGCUAACGUCCGUCGUGGAGAGGGAAACAACCCAGACCGCCAGCUAAGGUCCCAAAGUAUUGCUAAGUGGGAAACGAUGUGGGAAGGCUCAGACAGCUAGGAUGUUGGCUUAGAAGCAGCCAUCAUUUAAAGAAAGCGUAAUAGCUCACUAGUCGAGUCGGCCUGCGCGGAAGAUGUAACGGGGCUAAGCAAUACACCGAAGCUGCGGCAAUAUCUUUUAGAUAUUGGGUAGGGGAGCGUUCUGUAAGCCGUUGAAGGUGGAUCGUAAGGUUUGCUGGAGGUAUCAGAAGUGCGAAUGCUGACAUGAGUAACGACAAAGGGGGUGAAAAACCUCCUCGCCGGAAGACCAAGGGUUCCUGUCCAACGUUAAUCGGGGCAGGGUGAGUCGACCCCUAAGGUGAGGCCGAAAGGCGUAAUCGAUGGGAAACGGGUUAAUAUUCCCGUACUUCUGACUAUUGCGAUGGGGGGACGGAGAAGGCUAGGUGAGCCAGGCGACGGUUGUCCUGGUUCAAGUGCGUAGGCUUGAGAGUUAGGUAAAUCCGGCUCUCUUUAAGGCUGAGACACGACGUCGAGCUGCUACGGCAGUGAAGUCAUUGAUGCCAUGCUUCCAGGAAAAGCCUCUAAGCUUCAGAUAGUCAGGAAUCGUACCCCAAACCGACACAGGUGGUCGGGUAGAGAAUACCAAGGCGCUUGAGAGAACUCGGGUGAAGGAACUAGGCAAAAUGGUACCGUAACUUCGGGAGAAGGUACGCUCUUGAUGGUGAAGUCCCUCGCGGAUGGAGCUGACGAGAGUCGCAGAUACCAGGUGGCUGCAACUGUUUAUUAAAAACACAGCACUGUGCAAAAUCGCAAGAUGACGUAUACGGUGUGACGCCUGCCCGGUGCCGGAAGGUUAAUUGAUGGGGUUAGCGCAAGCGAAGCUCUUGAUCGAAGCCCCGGUAAACGGCGGCCGUAACUAUAACGGUCCUAAGGUAGCGAAAUUCCUUGUCGGGUAAGUUCCGACCUGCACGAAUGGCGUAAUGAUGGCCACGCUGUCUCCACCCGAGACUCAGUGAAAUUGAAAUCGCUGUGAAGAUGCAGUGUACCCGCGGCUAGACGGAAAGACCCCGUGAACCUUUACUACAGCUUGGCACUGAACAUUGAACCUACAUGUGUAGGAUAGGUGGGAGGCUAUGAAGACGUGACGCCAGUUGCGUUGGAGCCGUCCUUGAAAUACCACCCUUGUAUGUUUGAUGUUCUAACUUAGCCCCAUUAUCUGGGGUGAGGACAGUGCCUGGUGGGUAGUUUGACUGGGGCGGUCUCCUCCCAAAGAGUAACGGAGGAGCACGAAGGUGGGCUAAUCACGGUUGGACAUCGUGAGGUUAGUGCAAUGGCAUAAGCCCGCUUAACUGCGAGAAUGACGGUUCGAGCAGGUGCGAAAGCAGGUCAUAGUGAUCCGGUGGUUCUGUAUGGAAGGGCCAUCGCUCAACGGAUAAAAGGUACUCCGGGGAUAACAGGCUGAUACCGCCCAAGAGUUCAUAUCGACGGCGGUGUUUGGCACCUCGAUGUCGGCUCAUCACAUCCUGGGGCUGAAGUCGGUCCCAAGGGUAUGGCUGUUCGCCAUUUAAAGUGGUACGCGAGCUGGGUUUAGAACGUCGUGAGACAGUUCGGUCCCUAUCUGCCGUGGGCGUUGGAAGAUUGAAGGGGGCUGCUCCUAGUACGAGAGGACCGGAGUGGACGAACCUCUGGUGUUCGGGUUGUGUCGCCAGACGCAUUGCCCGGUAGCUAAGUUCGGAAUUGAUAAGCGCUGAAAGCAUCUAAGCGCGAAGCGAGCCCUGAGAUGAGUCUUCCCUGAUACUUUAAGU